Non-coding RNA from Macaca mulatta (Rhesus monkey), 1286 nucleotides. Lineage: Eukaryota; Metazoa; Chordata; Mammalia; Primates; Cercopithecidae. The record is from RefSeq and is a predicted model, not a curated record.
UCUCAAACUCCUGGCCUCAAACAGUCCUCCUGCCUCUGCCUCCCAAAGCCCUAGGAUUAUAGGAGUGAGCCACCACACUGGCUUUCUCUGUGUGUUUAACUGCCAGCUGGGCCUGACCCGUAGUUAGAGCCUAGUAAAUGUUCGGACUGGACACCCUGCUAGGAGCAUUGGGGAAGGGGACUUUGCCUCCCCUUUGCUGUGGGUUUUCCAUGGGCAGGGCAGGGACUUUUGUCUCUUCGACUUAGCCCUUUGGCUAGUUGGAGGAUUAGUGAGCUAAGACCAGACUGCAGCUCCUGCCAUUCAGAAGGCACUGGGUUUCUUUCCUGCCAGUCUCUGCCAAGCCUGGCUUCCCGCUCCUGGCAGGUCCUCUUGGAGUUGGGGUUUCAGGAUUCUUGUCUCGACUGACCUUUCCCGUCCUCCCCUGUGCCAUGUACGGCAACAUUGAUUUUGGUCUUGCAUGCAAAUAUAUGGAAGAUCUUAGAAAAUUAUGGAAAGUGGGGCACACUGAACAAAAUCACUGCCGUCAGAGAGAAUGAAGUGAUGCAAGAUCAGGAGGUGUCGGGAAGCCUAGGCGUGCGUCGCCACGUUGAUCUCCGUGUGAAAUAAGACCGACUCAGUAUCUGCAGCUAAACAACUCUUGAGAAACUCCAAAGGGCUGAGUGCUGCCCAGGCUUCAGGAAAAUAAGACAACAGACACUACGCGCUUUUCCAAUGUGGCUGGCACUCCGUGCUUGCAAUCACAUAUGUGCCACAGACAGGAUUUCUAUCAAACAAACAAGAAGGAGCAGAUGGAUGCCAAGCCCGUCGUCUCUCUCCUGGUGCGUUUAGCAAGAGCCAGUGGCAAAGUCCAGCUUGGGUCAUCAUGGGAAGUUUCCACAUCAUCCAUGAAAUUCUGUGGUGGACUUGUUACCCACACCAUGGGUGGGUUUGAUGGCUUGGUGGCUGGCAGUGCAAUGACAACAGCCAUGUUGGCUUUUAUUACCCACAACACUGGGGAUCAUUUUCAGAGCAGCGCUUUUCUAAUCACUGGAGAAAGCAGGGCUUGCCUUGGGCUGGGGAGCUGAGUCAUUUUAUGUAGAGGCAGAGUCAAGGUGGUCAUAGAUCAUGUUUCCACAUAUGUCGCAUGUAUAGAAAACAGGCUCCUCUCUGGCCAUGGAUUCUAGUGUAGUAACUAGGAGAGUUCCCCAGAGUUCGUCUCUGGAUCCAACCAGUUUUUGUUUUACCAGAGCUGAGCUUUUUGCUGGAACGUUUUGAAACAACAACUCAAGGUGCAACCAUUACUAGUG